Molecule: transfer RNA, 73 nt
Filed under: Myotis davidii
Lineage: Eukaryota; Metazoa; Chordata; Mammalia; Chiroptera; Vespertilionidae
Rfam family: tRNA
About the family: Transfer RNA (tRNA) molecules are approximately 80 nucleotides in length. Their secondary structure includes four short double-helical elements and three loops (D, anti-codon, and T loops). Further hydrogen bonds mediate the characteristic L-shaped molecular structure. tRNAs have two regions of fundamental functional importance: the anti-codon, which is responsible for specific mRNA codon recognition, and the 3' end, to which the tRNAs corresponding amino acid is attached (by aminoacyl-tRNA synthetases). tRNAs cope with the degeneracy of the genetic code in two manners: having more than one tRNA (with a specific anti-codon) for a particular amino acid; and 'wobble' base-pairing, i.e. permitting non-standard base-pairing at the 3rd anti-codon position.
Source: Rfam by way of RNAcentral
GCUUGUGUGGUUCAGUGGAUAGACCGCUCGCCUGCGAACUGAAGGGUCCCGGGUUCGAUUCCCGUCACAUGCC